GGAGAGAUGGGUGAGUGGCUGAAACCAACGGUUUGCUAAACCGUCGUACUGUGUAAAGCGGUACCGAGAGUUCGAAUCUCUCUCUCUCCGC
RNAcentral lists this transfer RNA (91 nucleotides) under Ignavibacteria bacterium ADurb.Bin266. RNAcentral's name for it is "tRNA-Ser". It matches the Rfam family "tRNA". Rfam says of the family: Transfer RNA (tRNA) molecules are approximately 80 nucleotides in length. The record is from RNAcentral. Lineage: Bacteria; Pseudomonadati; Ignavibacteriota.